Molecule: ribosomal RNA, 437 nt
Filed under: uncultured bacterium
Lineage: Bacteria
Description: partial 16S ribosomal RNA
Rfam family: Bacterial small subunit ribosomal RNA
Source: RNAcentral
AGCGAACGCUGGCGGCAGGCUUAACACAUGCAAGUCGAGCGGGCAUCCUUGUGGUGUCGGCGGCAGACGGGUGAGUAACGCGUGGGAACGUGCCCUUCGGUUCGGAAUAACUCAGGGAAACUUGAGCUAAUACCGGAUACGUGCGAGAGCAGAAAGGUUUAUCUGCCGAAGGAUCGGCCCGCGUCUGAUUAGCUAGUUGGUGAGGUUACGGCUCACCAAGGCGACGAUCAGUAGCUGGUCUGAGAGGAUGAUCAGCCACACUGGGACUGAGACACGGCCCAGACUCCUACGGGAGGCAGCAGUGGGGAAUAUUGGACAAUGGGGGCAACCCUGAUCCAGCCAUGCCGCGUGAGUGAUGACGGCCUUAGGGUUGUAAAGCUCUUUUCUCCGGGACGAUAAUGACGGUACCGGAGGAAUAAGCCCCGGCUAACUUCGUG